AGUGAACGCUGGCGGUAGGCCUAACACAUGCAAGUCGAACGGCAGCACAGUAAGAGCUUGCUCUUACGGGUGGCGAGUGGCGGACGGGUGAGGAAUACAUCGGAAUCUACUUUUUCGUGGGGGAUAACGUAGGGAAACUUACGCUAAUACCGCAUACGACCUACGGGUGAAAGCAGGGGAUCUUCGGACCUUGCGCGAUUGAAUGAGCCGAUGUCGGAUUAGCUAGUUGGCGGGGUAAAGGCCCACCAAGGCGACGAUCCGUAGCUGGUCUGAGAGGAUGAUCAGCCACACUGGGACUGAGACACGGUCCAGACUCCUACGGGAGGCAGCAGUGGGGAAUAUUGGACAAUGGGCGAAAGCCUGAUCCAGCCAUACCGCGUGGGUGAAGAAGGCCUUCGGGUUGUAAAGCCCUUUUGUUGGGAAAGAAAAGCAGCAGGUUAAUACCCCGCUGUUCUGACGGUACCCAAAGAAUAAGCACCGGCUAACUUCGUG
RNAcentral lists this ribosomal RNA (492 nucleotides) under uncultured bacterium. Its description in RNAcentral is "partial 16S ribosomal RNA". It matches the Rfam family "Bacterial small subunit ribosomal RNA", at positions 29 to 507 of the family's 1533-position model. The record is from RNAcentral.